RNAcentral lists this ribosomal RNA (468 nucleotides) under uncultured bacterium. RNAcentral's name for it is "partial 16S ribosomal RNA". It matches the Rfam family "Bacterial small subunit ribosomal RNA", at positions 28 to 507 of the family's 1533-position model. The record is from RNAcentral.
GACGAACGCUGGCGGCGUGCUUAACACAUGCAAGUCGAACGGAAAGGCCCUGCUUUUGUGGGGUGCUCGAGUGGCGAACGGGUGCGUAACACGUGAGUAACCUGCCCUUGACUUUGGGAUAACUUCAGGAAACUGGGGCUAAUACCGUAUAGGAUCUCCUGCUGCAUUGUGGGGGUUGGAACGUUUCGGCGGUUGGGGAUGGACUCGCGGCUUAUCAGCUUGUUGGUGGGGUAGAGGCUUACCAAGGCUUUGACGGGUAGCCGGCCUGAGAGGGUGACCGGCCACAUUGGGACUGAGAUACGGCCCAGACUCCUACGGGAGGCAGCAGUGGGGAAUAUUGCACAAUGGGCGGAAGCCUGAUGCAGCAACGCCGCGUGCGGGAUGACGGCCUUCGGGUUGUAAACCGCUUUCGCCUGUGACGAAGCGUGAGUGACGGUAAUGGGUAAAGAAGCACCGGCUAACUACGUG